RNAcentral lists this ribosomal RNA (1480 nucleotides) under Escherichia coli. Its description in RNAcentral is "partial 23S ribosomal RNA". It matches the Rfam family "Bacterial large subunit ribosomal RNA", at positions 1410 to 2868 of the family's 2925-position model. Lineage: Bacteria; Pseudomonadati; Pseudomonadota; Gammaproteobacteria; Enterobacterales; Enterobacteriaceae. The record is from RNAcentral.
CGUAGUCGAUGGGAAACAGGUUAAUAUUCCUGUACUUGGUGUUACUGCGAAGGGGGGACGGAGAAGGCUAUGUUGGCCGGGCGACGGUUGUCCCGGUUUAAGCGUGUAGGCUGGUUUUCCAGGCAAAUCCGGAAAACCAAGGCUGAGGCGUGAUGACGAGGCACUACGGUGCUGAAGCGACAAAUGCCCUGCUUCCAGGAAAAGCCUCUAAGCAUCAGGUAACAUCAAAUCGUACCCCAAACCGACACAGGUGGUCAGGUAGAGAAUACCAAGGCGCUUGAGAGAACUCGGGUGAAGGAACUAGGCAAAAUGGUGCCGUAACUUCGGGAGAAGGCACGCUGAUAUGUAGGUGAAGCGACUUGCUCGUGGAGCUGAAAUCAGUCGAAGAUACCAGCUGGCUGCAACUGUUUAUUAAAAACACAGCACUGUGCAAACACGAAAGUGGACGUAUACGGUGUGACGCCUGCCCGGUGCCGGAAGGUUAAUUGAUGGGGUUAGCGGCAACGCGAAGCUCUUGAUCGAAGCCCCGGUAAACGGCGGCCGUAACUAUAACGGUCCUAAGGUAGCGAAAUUCCUUGUCGGGUAAGUUCCGACCUGCACGAAUGGCGUAAUGAUGGCCAGGCUGUCUCCACCCGAGACUCAGUGAAAUUGAACUCGCUGUGAAGAUGCAGUGUACCCGCGGCAAGACGGAAAGACCCCGUGAACCUUUACUAUAGCUUGACACUGAACAUUGAGCCUUGAUGUGUAGGAUAGGUGGGAGGCUUUGAAGUGUGGACGCCAGUCUGCAUGGAGCCGACCUUGAAAUACCACCCUUUAAUGUUUGAUGUUCUAACGUUGGCCCCUAAUCGGGGUUGCGGACAGUGUCUGGUGGGUAGUUUGACUGGGGCGGUCUCCUCCUAAAGAGUAACGGAGGAGCACGAAGGUUGGCUAAUCCUGGUCGGACAUCAGGAGGUUAGUGCAAUGGCAUAAGCCAGCUUGACUGCGAGCGUGACGGCGCGAGCAGGUGCGAAAGCAGGUCAUAGUGAUCCGGUGGUUCUGAAUGGAAGGGCCAUCGCUCAACGGAUAAAAGGUACUCCGGGGAUAACAGGCUGAUACCGCCCAAGAGUUCAUAUCGACGGCGGUGUUUGGCACCUCGAUGUCGGCUCAUCACAUCCUGGGGCUGAAGUAGGUCCCAAGGGUAUGGCUGUUCGCCAUUUAAAGUGGUACGCGAGCUGGGUUUAGAACGUCGUGAGACAGUUCGGUCCCUAUCUGCCGUGGGCGCUGGAGAACUGAGGGGGGCUGCUCCUAGUACGAGAGGACCGGAGUGGACGCAUCACUGGUGUUCGGGUUGUCAUGCCAAUGGCACUGCCCGGUAGCUAAAUGCGGAAGAGAUAAGUGCUGAAAGCAUCUAAGCACGAAACUUGCCCCGAGAUGAGUUCUCCCUGAGACUUAGAGUCUCCUGAAGGAACGUUGAAGACGACGACGUUGAUAGGCCGGGUGU